AUUCCAGCUCCAAUAGCGUAUAUUAAAGUUGUUGCGGUUAAAAAGCUCGUAGUUGGAUUUCUGUCGAAAAUGGGCGGUCCUCACUACGUGGGUGUAUUGUUUCAGUUUCGGCAUCCUCAUGGGGAACGUUGCUGCGCUUGAUUGCGUGGCGCGGUAUCCAUGACUUUUACUUUGAGGAAAUUAGAGUGUUCACGGCAGGCAAUCGCCUUGAAUAUAUUAGCAUGGAAUAAUAAUAUAGGAUCUUGGUUCUAUUUUGUUGGUUUCUAGAGCUAAGAUAAUGAUUAAUAGGGAUAAUUGGGGGUCUUUGUGUCAUGGCGUCAGAGGUGGAAUUCUUGGAUUGCCAUGCGACAAACUACUGCGAAAGCAUUGACCAAGGAUGUUUUCAUUG
This 388-nucleotide ribosomal RNA is filed under the name Syndiniales sp. Its description in RNAcentral is "partial small subunit ribosomal RNA". It matches the Rfam family "Eukaryotic small subunit ribosomal RNA", at positions 582 to 975 of the family's 1831-position model. The record is from RNAcentral. Lineage: Eukaryota; Dinophyceae; Syndiniales.